AGGCCUAACACAUGCAAGUCGAACGGUAACAGGAAACAGCUUGCUGUUUCGCUGACGAGUGGCGGACGGGUGAGUAAUGUCUGGGAAACUGCCUGAUGGAGGGGGAUAACAACUGGAAACGGUAGCUAAUACCGCAUAACGUCGCAAGACCAAAGAGGGGGACCUUCGGGCCUCUUGCCAUCGGAUGUGCCCAGAUGGGAUUAGCUAGUAGGUGGGGUAACGGCUCACCUAGGCGACGAUCCCUAGCUGGUCUGAGAGGAUGACCAGCCACACUGGAACUGAGACACGGUCCAGACUCCUACGGGAGGCAGCAGUGGGGAAUAUUGCACAAUGGGCGCAAGCCUGAUGCAGCCAUGCCGCGUGUAUGAAGAAGGCCUUCGGGUUGUAAAGUACUUUCAGCGGGGGGGAAGGGAGUAAAGUUAAUACCUUUACUCAUUGACGUUACCCGCAGAAGAAGCACCGGCUAACUCCGUGCCAGCAGCCGCGGUAAUACGGAGGGUGCAAGCGUUAAUCGGAAUUACUGGGCGUAAAGCGAGCGCAGGCGGUU
RNAcentral lists this ribosomal RNA (547 nucleotides) under uncultured bacterium. RNAcentral describes it as "bacterial SSU rRNA". It matches the Rfam family "Bacterial small subunit ribosomal RNA", at positions 44 to 580 of the family's 1533-position model. The record is from RNAcentral.